Molecule: non-coding RNA, 112 nt
Organism: Acanthosepion pharaonis
Lineage: Eukaryota; Metazoa; Mollusca; Cephalopoda; Sepiida; Sepiidae
Source: the annotation of a GenBank genome assembly
UACGACCACAUCACAUUAAAACAGUAGUUCCCACAUGAUCACCAAAGUUAAGCAAUGUCAAGCAUGGUCAGUACUUAGAUGGGUGAUCGCUUGGGAAUACCUGGUGCUGUAA